RNAcentral lists this small RNA (802 nucleotides) under Histoplasma capsulatum var. duboisii H88. RNAcentral describes it as "Histoplasma capsulatum H88 hypothetical RNA". Lineage: Eukaryota; Fungi; Ascomycota; Eurotiomycetes; Onygenales; Ajellomycetaceae. The record is from RNAcentral.
CAGUGGGCAAUUGCCUGCUCCAACAGGCCUAAGAUAUCUCAAUCUCAGCUGAUUCAUCUGGAGUUGAAUCGAACUCUACGUCGACUUUCUUGGGAUGGCGGACACCUACCGGAGACCGUGGGUACUCAGUAGCUGUCCCGUCAGGAGGCUGGCCGGUGAAGGGUAAUACAGUACGUGUACAGUACGUUUCAUAUAUAUACUGUACUAAUCACGAAUAACGAGCAUUUGGCUGUAUUCACCACAUUGGCAUUCCCCUGCUACGAGCCCGAAUGAAACUACAGCAAAAAGAAUUUUUGCAAUCGACUCAUCCGUCGAUCUGUAUGUAGAUGGGACGUUGGUAAAAUGGAGACGACGGGCCCAAAAAUGCCAAAAGAAACAAAAGGAAAGGAAAAAGAAAAAGAAAACCACAUUGUGUUCAUAAAACGGCUUGAUUGUUCAGUAUCGACAUGCGCCAGCCCAUGAGAAUUAGAUCCAUCCGCCAGUCCCUCGAAUACAAUUACACCCGCAAGCCCGAAGAAAUAAAAUAUAACAGAAAUUAGAAGGAGGGAAACAAGGAAGCUUUUCUCUGGUAAUCUUGCGCAUAGCUAAGUGGGUUUUGAAGAUGGAACGCAGGCACGAGUAAGUUGCAGGAGAAAGGAGAAAGCGGACGUAAAGACGUAAUUGAGAUAAAAAUCGAGAGCAAAACGCAAAUACUCAUUCUCCGUAAAUCAAUUCAUUUCUGCGCCCCCGAUGUAAACGUGGCCUUCCCUUGGCACAUGAGAAAUCCUAACCAUAGAUAUAUAUGCUUUGAAAUUAGAGCGGU